ACACUGUACCUGGCAAGGGAGAUUACUGUGUUCAUAGAAGGCGGUUCACCCAGGUGAGGCUUAGCCACUUGCACUCCGGCUGUGCUGAAGCCUUGAAUUUCCCAAAAAAUGUGGAACAUCUAUGCGGCAUUAAUUUAUGUAGUGGGGACUGCCGUCCGGGCAAGCAUGAG
This is a non-coding RNA of Salvelinus sp. IW2-2015, 170 nucleotides long. Lineage: Eukaryota; Metazoa; Chordata; Actinopteri; Salmoniformes; Salmonidae. The record is from RefSeq and is a predicted model, not a curated record.